This 253-nucleotide ribosomal RNA is filed under the name uncultured bacterium. RNAcentral's name for it is "partial 16S ribosomal RNA". It matches the Rfam family "Bacterial small subunit ribosomal RNA", at positions 524 to 776 of the family's 1533-position model. The record is from RNAcentral.
UACGUAGGGUGCAAGCGUUGUCCGGAAUUAUUGGGCGUAAAGAGCUUGUAGGCGGUCUGUCGCGUCUGAUGUGAAAAUCCGGGGCUCAACCCCGGACUUGCAGUGGGUACGGGCAGACUAGAGUGUGGUAGGGGAGACUGGAAUUCCUGGUGUAGCGGUGAAAUGCGCAGAUAUCAGGAGGAACACCGAUGGCGAAGGCAGGUCUCUGGGCCACUACUGACGCUGAGAAGCGAAAGCAUGGGGAGCGAACAGG